UACGGGGGGGUAAGCGUUGUUCGGAAUUACUGGGCGUAAAGGGCUCGUAGGCGGCCAACUAAGUCAUACGUGAAAUCCCUCAGCUUAACUGGGGAACUGCGUGUGAUACUGGAUGGCUUGGAUUUGGGAGAGGGAUGCGGAAUUCCAGGUGUAGCGGUGAAAUGCGUAGAUAUCUGGAGGAACACCGGUGGCGAAGGCGGCAUCCUGGACCAAUAUUGACGCUGAGGCGCGAAAGCUAGGGGAGCAAACGGG
Molecule: ribosomal RNA, 252 nt
Filed under: uncultured bacterium
Lineage: Bacteria
Description: partial 16S ribosomal RNA
Rfam family: Bacterial small subunit ribosomal RNA
Source: RNAcentral